CCUACGGGAGGCAGCAGUGGGGGAUAUUGCACAAUGGGGGAAACCCUGAUGCAGCGACCCCGCGUGUGGGAAGACGGUCCUCUGGAUUGUAAACCACUGUCCCCAGGGACGAAAAUGACGGUACCUGGGGAGGAAGCUCCGGCUAACUACGUGCCAGCAGCCGCGGUAAUACGGAGGGAGCGAGCGUUGUCCGGAAUUACUGGGUGUAAAGGGAGCGUAGGCGGGGAUGCAAGUUGGGUGUAAAAACUACCGGCUCAACUGGUAGUCGAACUCAAAACUGCAGCGCUUGAGUGAAGUAGAGGCAGGCGGAAUUCCUAGUGGAGCGGUGAAAUGCGUAGAUAUUAGGAGGAACACCAGUGGCGAAGGCGGCCUGCUGGGCUUUUACUGACGCUGAGGCUCGAAAGUGUGGGGAGCAAACAGGAUUAGAUACCCCAGGAGUC
This 440-nucleotide ribosomal RNA is filed under the name uncultured bacterium. RNAcentral describes it as "partial 16S ribosomal RNA". It matches the Rfam family "Bacterial small subunit ribosomal RNA", at positions 338 to 795 of the family's 1533-position model. The record is from RNAcentral.